Molecule: transfer RNA, 72 nt
Filed under: Toxocara canis (dog roundworm)
Lineage: Eukaryota; Metazoa; Nematoda; Chromadorea; Rhabditida; Toxocaridae
Rfam family: tRNA
About the family: Transfer RNA (tRNA) molecules are approximately 80 nucleotides in length.
Source: Rfam by way of RNAcentral
GGGGCAGCAGCUCAGUGGUAGGGCUCCCGCUUCGCAUGCAGGAAGACCUGGGUCCGAUUCCCAGCUGCAUCC